Long non-coding RNA from Gallus gallus (chicken), 5556 nucleotides. NCBI's taxonomy places the organism in Eukaryota, Metazoa, Chordata, Aves, Galliformes, Phasianidae. The record is from Ensembl.
CUUGCCUGUUAGAAAUAUCGCCCUGGGCUGCCAGCUCAGCGAAGGAGAAAAGCGGGUGUGUGUUACCGAGGGAAGAUGGGGGUCACCUCCCUGCCGGGGGGGACACCUCACCCCUUCCCUGCCCUCCUUGGGCUGCUGCACCUGCAAGAACCCCUCCUUGUGCUCUGCUGCUCAUGGGGUGCUUAGAGCUGAGCAUCCUCACGGGGGGAUGCCCUACGGGGAGCUCCCAACGUCCCCUCCGCAGCUCCUACACCCCCAGGGUCGCCGGGCUGCAGUGGAUGGAUUUCAGCCCAGCUGGCAGUUUGGGAUCGUUAACCAUGAAGGUGCCCCUGGGAAGAAGCGAAAAAGGGUUAGAGCAAGAUGGAUGGUUCCCCAGGCCCAUGGAAUGAGCAGAUAGAGGCAGCCCUGUCGACUCUGGCAUCCCAUUAAGCCAAGCUGCGGGAGGAGGCCGCCGUCGGACUUAUUACAUUUGCCCCCACCCGGACCCCAAACAUCAGCCCCAGUGUGGGGUGCCCCCGGCUCGGCUGCCCGUGCCCCACAUUGCCGGGUGCCACCCGCACCUCUACCCUAUCCAUCCCCCACAUCAGCAUGGGAAUCGCCUCUUGCAUCCCUCAGUGUCAGCCCACACCGAUUUGUCACUGAUAGGUGACAAGCACUGUGUGGCUCAGUGUGGCUCCGGGUAAGGGCAGCCGGGGGGGGGGGAGCUCAGACAGCCCCCAACCCACCGCUGACCAGGGCUGCUGUGCCUGGUGAAACAGCAGUGAGGAAGGGGGGAAAAACAAGGCAAAAAUAGAAGGAAAAAUGAUGGGAUGAAAAAAAUGAAACAAACCCCAUCGUGUUCAGGAGCCCAAGAACCACGCAGCCCCAUGGGGGGGUCGGCAGUGGUGACAGGGGCACCCGGCUGCCCCAUCUCCACCGCCCGCUUCCUUCGCACGGAUAUUUCCACUUUAAUACUUAACAAGGAUUUAAAACCCUUCUGCAGCCGGAGUUUGUUGGCAGCGAUAAAUUUUGAAUAGCUUAUAAAUAAUGGAGGCAAGGUGGUGCCUCCGGCUGGGAGAAGGGGUGAGGCCCCACCUGCCAUCAGGAGAGGGUGAGGAGCAGCCCUGGUGCAUACCGCUCGGUGACGAUGGCAUCACAGUGCACAGCCCAGCAUGGCCAGGCUGCUUCACACCUCCUGAUAGGGAUGAGCCAGCAUGCAAGUAUCAUGGGAUGGAAUUAUGGAUGGACGGAGAAAUGCAUGCAGUCCCUUUCUAUAUAUAUGUGUGCGGAUGCACGUACAGAGAGACAAAUAUAUAGAGCUGUGCACAGCCACAAGCAUGCGUGCUUGCAUGCAUCUCUAUGGGUCAAAUUGCCCACCUCCCCUUGACCUCCCCUCCAUGCCUUGCUCCCAUCGAACCCAUAUCCCACCCCAUGUGCUGCAGAUGCAACAGGCAGCAGCUCCUGCAGGGCACCUCACACACUGCUCCACACUUUGGGGCCAGGAGGGGAUUUGGGAAGAGGGCUGGAAGGGAUGAUUUCAUCCCCAUGAGAACUGGAGAGCGUUUCUGUGCACGGCAGGGGUGGAUGCAAUGUCUGCUCCCUGCUUUUCCCUGGCACUUUGUAGCAAGUCAGUAAUUAGGUUAUAGCACCGCUCUGGCUUAAUUUCUACGCACCAACGUCCAAUAAAUGUGUAUGGAGUUUGUAUGUGUGCCUGUAGUAUAUAAAAGCUAUAGGAAAAUGGCCAGACUUCACUACAUUAAUUCAUAAAGCAGGUCAUUCUUGUCUGGCCCUUUACCUCACUUGUUAUUUCUAUUUAUUAGUAAUAUUGAUGUUUCAACCAGGGAUCAGGACCCCAUUGAGCCAGCUUUAAUAACAGAAAAGAUUUAGCAGGAGAGAGCCCUGUAAUGAACCAAUAAUCACAACAGCGGCGCUCACGUAGUGCAGCUCACAAACAGCAUUGUUAUUUGUACAGUGUUUUAUUUGCUAUUUCACUUUUGCAGCGAGCCCAGCAUCUCCCACUGCACCAGUUUGGCCAUGCCAAGGCUUUGUUGAGGGUGAAAAUGGAAUGAAUGAGUGUUGGCUUCGGAGGGCCAUCAGCGUGGGCUGGUACCCAUGGUAACCGCUUGGGAGCCGUACAAAGCCCAGGACCACAUCUAAACCAACUUCAGCUUCGUCGCCUGCUGAGACAUUGAACACGAGCCAGUCCUCAGCUCUGAGCCAAGAUACACUUAGGGAGGGUUUGUCUGGCAAGAACCUCUGGAACUAUUGAUCCGUGAGAAAAAGUGAUCAAGGGAAGUACAGCUGUCCUGGUUAUUGCCUCACCAUGCUCUCUACCAGCUGCAAAACUUCACCAGCAGAGACAACGAGAGAAGAGCUGCGCAGCAUCCUUCCUUCAUGCAAACUCUGCUCUGUGUCUGAAAGCCCAGCGCAGAGCUGGAGCUGCUGCAGCACCGGGGAUGGUGCACGGUGGGGAGAACCGGGGAGCAAACAUCGUCUGAACAGGGACAAAGGCAUUAUAAAUGAGUGCUGCCGGAUCUCCUGUCAGCCAGGGUGGUGUUACCUCUGCAUUUAUACUUCAGUAAUUUCUGCAUUUCUCUAAUUUCUUAAAUUGCCUGUAAGAUGAUAAUAUUUCCUAGAACAUGGUGAAUAGAUUAACUGCACGCUACGGCGCUAUCCAAAACUGCUUCGAGCAGCAUUAAAACCAGAUGUUCCCAAAGAGCCAAGGGAAAAUGUUACCUGCGCUGCUCACCAGCCAAGGGGCGAACUGCCUGUGCCUUACGUAGCAAUGCUGCUUUUCCUGGGAUCAUGGAAAACCAGCAACACGAGGCAUCUCCACGCCACAGCUCUGGCAACGUGUGCUCCACCACAUGCCCUUGCUUCCCACGCUGCCUGCUGCCAUCCGUGGCUGCGGGGCACAGGGACGGCAUGGCCAGGAGCAGCAGCCUGACCUACUUCAGUGCAGUGCAAUGGCCUCUCUGCCACGCAUCCUCGCACAGACACGAAGCACAGUUUGAGGGCAGCGGACCCGCAUGGGGUGGGAUGCUGUCCCAGCCUCCACCAGCUAGCAUUGCUCCGGCUGCCUCCGAGCGCUCUCACCGCUGCGUAUCAACUCACAGGCUCCAUUAACAAAUCAAAUUGCCACUGAUGUGCUUCUCAUUACAUCUCGGGGCUUACGCGUCGUUAUUUCAUUUAAAAGACGGCAUUUGUUUUCCCUUCCCUGAUUCCACGUCCCCAAAAUCUCAUUAGGAGAUCGCUGCUCAUUAUGAAGUGCUGCUCAGUGUAACGUGCUGGGGGUGCAGGACUCAGCAAAGGGCCCCACAUGGAGGUGGGGGGGGGGGGGGGGAGAGGGUAAUGAAGAGCCAUUGAAUGAGGAGUGCCGAGGCUUAAUUUGGGAGGAGAGGAGCGGACUGUGGAUGCUGACAGCACCGCAAUGCGAAUCCCCCUUGGAGCACCCAAAGAAUCGGCCUAAAUGGAUUAAUGUGAGGACAGAGAAGAAAUGACUUCAGUUGUUUCCCUGAUUCAAUUCCGUUUAUUUUUAUACGGCGUCUUCAUGCAAAGCAUCUCCCAGCUGCUUCAUCCAGAAGAGGGAUAACAGAGGAUCACCGCGCUGGCUCAGCUCUCACCAGUGCUGGCAUUGCAGUGGGAGGGAGGAACACAAGCGCUGGCCUUGAGGAUUUGACGUCCCAAAUCAUCAGGAGAUCAUAUGCCAUUUUUUUCUCUUCUUUUUCCAGUUCCAAUAUUGGUAAUUUCCCUAGGCUUUCCUCAAAGCAUCGCUGCAAUAUACUCGGGCUGAUUCUAAUCUCACGCUGCUUUUAUAGCACUGUAAUUCCGAUCUCACACUGGUUUUAUACUGGUGCAGCCCCACUUAUUUCAACUGAGUAAAUUCCUGAUUUAUGUCAGUGCAAACGACGGCAGAAAUGGGCCCGCAGCUCUCCCUGGAGCAACGCCUGGCUCCCACCAGGGUGAGGAAGAGGAAGAUCAGCUCGUUUGCAAUGCAAAUGGUGUAGAAAACUGCUGCCACAUUACACCCAGACCCUCACUUUGCGAUGCGCUUUUGCUCUCUUCUAUGAAAUGCACUUUGUUGCAUUUUGGAAACCCACAGGAGGUCACUGAGAAGCGACGUGUGGCUCUGCUGGGUGUCCGUGGGGACCGACCCGUUUAUUGCCUUCGCCCUUCUCUCUUCCUCAGCCCCACCACCACUCUGUUGCUGUUUCAAGGACGUUUCGUUGCCUUAAUUUACUCUCUGUGAUGUGAAGGGAUGCAGUGACUUAUCCUGAUACCCAUCCCAGAGGCUGCACCUCAGCAGUGCAGUGUUGGUGUUGGUUAAUAAGCCCCUUGCAGACCAAAGCAAGACUGUGACUGCUGCAUCCACCUGGGCAAGCUGCGUCCUCUCUUGCUUAUGCUAAGGGAGGAAAAAUAGGGGCUGUUGUAACUAAUGGCUGUGGGGUGGAGUGAUUUUCCCCUUCCGUUUGCUCUCAGGAAAGAACAGGACGGAACUGGGAGAGGAAGGCAGGCUGAAAAGGGGGAUGGAUAAGGACCUUGGUUGGUUGUCUCUGCUUGGGUGCUGGUCCCUCACAAUGGGGGGGUCCCUGAGCUCCCACCCAUUGCUGUGCCCUGAGGAGCACUGCUGCAGUGCCAUACCCACCCAUUGUGCACCUAUGUGAUGCUCAGACAGCAAGAAGGUGAGGGUUGCUGGUAUCACCUCUCCUAUGGGGCUGUGCAAACUCAUACUCACUGAUGCCCCUCUGCCAUUGCAAAGUGGGAAACAACCUUGUGCAGCCACUGGACAAAGUCUUCCCUUCACACCCAGCCUGGCAGCACUGAGCCCUGCUCCAUGGAGAGGAGCAAACCCUGAUCCCACAGCCCAGCAGAGCCCCCCCAGCCUAGCAGUCAGACCCACAAGCUGACAUCAGCAGAACGAAGCAUGGCCCCAGCAGUAAUCUGAUAGAACCCAAUGGCAGUUUGGGUUGGGGGGGGGGGGGGAGGGGAGGGGAGGCACUGAAAGAAGAGGCACUGAAAGUACACUUCCUUCAGUGCAUUGCUGGGGAGACCAUUAGGAAAACCACUAGAUUAUUUUUCACAUUCUUCAGCGCAAAACUACUGCGUUUUAUGACCACUAUCAAUAACAGCUAUCAUAUUACUAAUGCUACAGUUGCCACAUAUAUAAUAUUUAAAUCACAUUUGUGGCUGACAGAGACCUAUGGAUAUUCUCGAUCCCAACAGGCUAUUACAGUUCAUAUCGUGUCUGUCAUAUAAAUAUUAUGAAUCAUUUCCCACUAUCUUUAUGGGGGCUACAUUGACAUCGUCGAAAAGGCUCUGGGCUGGAUACUGGCUGCAUAUUUAUACACACCUUAUGUAUAUGUAUGUGAAUGGAGGGAGAUUUAUUCAACAAUCACCAGUAAUAAAUGCCUAUGAUAAACCAUAUUAUCUUCACACUUCAUUUGCAAAGUGUUUUGUAUGCAAGGACUGGGGGGAAGGCCCUGUCAGUGGCACAUCCUCAAGCUCUGGUGUGAGGCUUUGUGGUGAGGUUGCUCACAGCUGGCACAGCCCUAUCGCAGCCCCAGGUGAAGCAGGGAG